This 525-nucleotide long non-coding RNA is filed under the name Phascolarctos cinereus (koala). RNAcentral's name for it is "lncRNA (ENSPCIG00000014738.2)". Lineage: Eukaryota; Metazoa; Chordata; Mammalia; Diprotodontia; Phascolarctidae. The record is from RNAcentral.
GCAGGAUCAGAGCAUGAGGAGGAGGGGGCUCUAAAAGCCGCCUUCCCCCACUCUAAACUGCGCGCAGCCCCGGGGGAAAGGAAGCUGUGUGGAUCCCACCCCCACCAUGCAGGCUGGAGGGUUUGGGGUUCGGGUAUAAGUGGGGGUGCGAGGACAGGCUCGGGGAGCGCCGGUUUUCUCGGAUGCAGAUUAGCCGCCUGGAGGCGAAGGCUUUUCUGUUUGGCUUCCCUGGAAGCAGCCAAGCUCUAUAAAAGGAAAAUGAGAAGCCAUCACAGCUGGGGCCGCUCCAGGCCUUUCUGCAAAAGACUAGCCUGGCCAGAAUCCAAACCGCAAGCCUCAGCGGGCAGCCCGGGGAAGGGGGCCCGGCCUCCCAGCCCCCCUCACUCUCCGCCCAGCCGGCCCGGGAGGUCCUGCUGCUGCCCUCCGGAGCCAACGGGGGAGAUGGAGAAAGGCAGCAAGGUGAAAGAGAACUCUGAGGGAACCAACAAAGUUUCCAUUCAGACCUCAUUAACUCCAGUGAACUAA